This 16-nucleotide small RNA is filed under the name Arabidopsis thaliana (thale cress). RNAcentral's name for it is "ATSL072290". The record is from RNAcentral. Lineage: Eukaryota; Viridiplantae; Streptophyta; Magnoliopsida; Brassicales; Brassicaceae.
UGGCAGAAGAGAGUGA